UACAAAGGAAUUGACGGGACCGCACAAGCGGUGGAUGAUGUGGUUUUAAUUCGAUGCAACGCGAAAACCUUACCCACCUUUGACAUGGCAGGAAUCCCGAAGAGAUUUGGGAGUGCUCGAAAGAGAACCUGCACACAGGUGCUGCAUGGCUGUCGUCAGCUCGUGUCGUGAGAUGUUGGGUUAAGUCCCGCAACGAGCGCAACCCUUGCCAUUAGUUGCUACGAAAGGGCACUCUAAUGGGACUGCCGGUGACAAACCGGAGGAAGGUGGGGAUGACGUCAACGUCCCCAUGGCCCUUAUAGGUGGGGCUACACACGUCAUACAAUGGCCGGUACAGAGGGUAGCCAACCCGCGAGGGGGAGCCAAUCCCACAAAGCCGGUCGUAGUCCGGAUCGCAGUCUGCAACUCGACUACGUGAAGUCGGAAUCGCUAGUAAUCGUGGAUCAGAAUGUCACGGUGAAUACGUUCCCGGGUCUU
This 477-nucleotide ribosomal RNA is filed under the name uncultured Allobrachymonas sp. RNAcentral's name for it is "bacterial SSU rRNA". It matches the Rfam family "Bacterial small subunit ribosomal RNA", at positions 903 to 1382 of the family's 1533-position model. Lineage: Bacteria; Pseudomonadati; Pseudomonadota; Betaproteobacteria; Burkholderiales; Comamonadaceae. The record is from RNAcentral.